This 253-nucleotide ribosomal RNA is filed under the name uncultured bacterium. RNAcentral's name for it is "partial 16S ribosomal RNA". It matches the Rfam family "Bacterial small subunit ribosomal RNA", at positions 524 to 776 of the family's 1533-position model. The record is from RNAcentral.
UACGUAGGGUGCGAGCGUUGUCCGGAAUUAUUGGGCGUAAAGGGCUCGUAGGCGGUUUGUCGCGUCGGGAGUGAAAUCACCGGGCUUAACUUGGUGUCUGCUUUCGAUACGGGCGAACUUGAGGGAUGCAGGGGAGAACGGAAUUCCUGGUGUAGCGGUGAAAUGCGCAGAUAUCAGGAGGAACACCGGUGGCGAAGGCGGUUCUCUGGGCAUGUCCUGACGCUGAGGAGCGAAAGUGUGGGGAGCGAACAGG